AAAUAGCCCCGAUUGUAGUGGAAAUAAAAGCAGUUUUUUCUUUAAAAACUGCUUUUAUUGCAGCGAAAGCGGGAAAAUGG
Flavobacterium aquatile is the source of this 80-nucleotide small RNA. It matches the Rfam family "Flavo-1 RNA". The record is from Rfam. Lineage: Bacteria; Pseudomonadati; Bacteroidota; Flavobacteriia; Flavobacteriales; Flavobacteriaceae.